UCAUGCUAGAAAGAGCAUAUGGUGGAUGCCUUGGCACUAAGAGCCGAUGAAAGACGCGAUAAGCUGCGAAAAGCUUCGGGGAGGGGCAAAUACCCUUUGAUCCGGAGGUGUCUGAAUGGGGAAACCCGCAUGAGGAGCCCUCAUGCAUCCCUGCGCCAAUCCAUAACGCAGGGAGGGGAACCCGGCGAACUGAAACAUCUAAGUAGCCGGAGGAAGAGAAAACAACAAGUGAUUCCGUAAGUAGCGGCGAGCGAACACGGAGGAGCCCAAACCGGGGCGCGUGCGCCCCGGGGUUCGGACCGCGGAAGUGAUUCGGGAAGGCUAGCAGAACGGCUUUGGGAAAGCCGGCCAGAGAGGGUGAAAGCCCCGUAAGCGAAAGCCUGACAGACACGGCGGUAUCCAGAGUACCACGAGACACGAGAAACCUUGUGGGAAGAGGCGGGGACCACCCCGCAAGGCUAAAUACUCCUUAGUGACCGAUAGCGCAUAGUACUGUGAAGGAACGGUGAAAAGAACCCCGGGAGGGGAGUGAAAGAGAACCUGAAACCAUAUGUUUACAAGCUGUGGAAGGGCCUUACGUGCCCAACCGCGUACUUUUUGUAGAACGGUCCGGCGAGUUACGCCGGCUGGCAAGGUUAAGGGCUAAAGGCCCGGAGCCGAAGGGAAACCAAGUCUGAAUAGGGCGAAGGAGUCAGCCGGAGUAGACCCGAAACCGGGUGAUCUAUCCAUGUCCAGGUUGAAGUUGCCGUAAAAGGCAAUGGAGGACCGAACCCACAUCCGUUGAAAAGGGUGGGGAUGAGGUGUGGAUAGGGGAGAAAUUCCAAUCGAACCCGGAGAUAGCUGGUUCUCCUCGAAAUAGCUUUAGGGCUAGCCUCAUACGAGUCUUGCGGAGGUAGAGCACUGAAUUUCCUAGGGGGCGUCAAAGCUUACCGAAGAAUAUCAAACUCCGAAUGCCGCGUAGAUGAUGUAUGGGAGUCAGACUGCACGAGAUAAGUUGGGCAGUCGAAAGGGAAAGAGCCCAGACCUGCGGCUAAGGCCCCAAAAUGUGUGUUAAGUGGAAAAGGAUGUGGGAUUUCGAAGACAACUAGGAUGUUGGCUCAGAAGCAGCCAUGCAUUCAAAGAGUGCGUAAUAGCUCACUAGUCGAGAGGUCCCGCGCCGAAAAUGUCCGGGGCUGAAACACACUGCCGAAGCCCGGGGAUGUACCAAGUACAUCGGUAGAGGAGCAUUGGAUGCGGGAGGAAGCGGCACCGGAAGGAGCCGUGGACCGCAUCGAAGAGAGAAUGCCGGAAUGAGUAGCGAGAGGAAGGUGGGAAUCCUUCCGGCCGAAUAUCCAAGGUUUCCAGAGUAAAGCUGAUCUGCUCUGGGUAAGUCGGGGCCUAAGGCGAGGGCGGGAGCCGUAGCCGAUGGACAACAGGUUGAGAUUCCUGUACCGCGAUAUGACAGAACUGUGGGGACACGCGUGGAAAGCAUAAGCCGGGAAUGGAAAGACCGGCGCAAGCGGGGCAGGGGCUGCAUAGGCAAAUCCGUGCAGCGUAACCCGAAGCCGUGACGCGUACCGAACUGCAAGUAGGGAAGUAUGCGAGCCAUGCGUCAAGAAAAGCCGCUAUCGCUCAUAUCGCGCCCGUACCGCAAACCGACACAGGUAGAUGAGGAGAGAAUCCUAAGGCCGACGGGAGAAGCAUUGUCAAGGAACUCGGCAAAAUGACUCCGUAACUUCGGGAGAAGGAGUGCCAUAGAGAUAUGGCCGCAGAGAAUUGGCCCAAGCAACUGUUUAGCAAAAACACAGGUCUAUGCGAAGCCGCAAGGCGAGGUAUAUGGGCUGACGCCUGCCCGGUGCUGGAAGGUUAAGGGGAGAGGUUAGAGCGAUCGAAGCCUUGAACUUAAGCCCCAGUAAACGGCGGCCGUAACUAUAACGGUCCUAAGGUAGCGAAAUUCCUUGUCGGGUAAGUUCCGACCCGCACGAAAGGCGUAAUGAUUUGGGCACUGUCUCGACAAUGCACCCGGUGAAAUUGAAGUACCAGUGAAGAUGCUGGUUACCCGCGCCAGGACGGAA
This 2054-nucleotide ribosomal RNA is filed under the name human gut metagenome. Its description in RNAcentral is "bacterial LSU rRNA". It matches the Rfam family "Bacterial large subunit ribosomal RNA", at positions 1 to 2085 of the family's 2925-position model. The record is from RNAcentral.